Molecule: long non-coding RNA, 314 nt
Organism: Perognathus longimembris pacificus (Pacific pocket mouse)
Lineage: Eukaryota; Metazoa; Chordata; Mammalia; Rodentia; Heteromyidae
Exons: 3
Source: RefSeq, a predicted model, not a curated record
GGAAGAGAAAUGAAUGUAUUAUGCAGUUCCUCUGAGAGCUUUCUCUUUAACUGGGUAUAGCACACAAACAGGUGACAAUUAACAAACAGUAGGAAGACUUUUUUUUUCCCCCCUAAAAGCUUAAGAGAUGUUACAAAAUAGCAGAUGAGCAGGGAUUAUUUUCUGAACUGUACAGCCACGGAUGCAGCCAGAACAAAACCACACAGGAGAAGAAGGGUUUGGUCUUGGGCCUGACUGGCAAAGAGCUGAGCAUUGCUUUCAUCAUUUCCACUUCUGGCCUAUCAUCUCAGUGUUCCAGGUGCCUACUGAGCUCC